This 1361-nucleotide ribosomal RNA is filed under the name uncultured bacterium. RNAcentral's name for it is "bacterial SSU rRNA". It matches the Rfam family "Bacterial small subunit ribosomal RNA", at positions 28 to 1381 of the family's 1533-position model. The record is from RNAcentral.
GAUGAACGCUAGCGGGAGGCCUAACACAUGCAAGCCGAGCGGCAUUAUUUCUUUAGCUUGCUAAAGAGAUGAGAGAGCGGCGUACGGGUGCGUAACACGUGUGCAACUUACCUUUAUCAGGGGGAUAGCCUUUAGAAAUGAAGAUUAAUACCCCAUAAUAUAUUAGAUGGCAUCAUUUAGUAUUGAAAAUCACGAUGGAUAGAGAUAGGCACGCGCAAGAUUAGCUAGUUGGUACGGUAACGGCGUACCAAGGCGAUGAUCUUUAGGGGGCCUGAGAGGGUGAUCCCCCACACUGGUACUGAGACACGGACCAGACUCCUACGGGAGGCAGCAGUGGAGGAAUAUUGGACAAUGGGUGAGAGCCUGAUCCAGCCAUCCCGCGUGAAGGAUUAAGGACCUAUGGUUCGUAAACUUCUUUUAUAUAGGAAUAAACCUACCCUCGUGAGGGUAGCUGAAAGGUACUAUAUGAAUAAGCACCGGGCUAACUCCGUGCCAGCAGCCGCGGUAAUACGGAGGGUGCGAGCGUUAUCCGGAUUUAUUGGGGUUUAAAAGGGUCCGUAGGCGGGCUAAUAAGUCAGUAGUGAAAUCUUGUCGCUUAACGAUAAAACUGCUAUUGAUACUGUUAGUCUUGAGUGUAUUUGAAGUAGCUGGAAUGAGUAGUGUAGCGGUGAAAAUGCAUAGAUAUUACUCAGAACACCAAUUGCGAAGGCAGGUUACUAAGAUACAACUGACGCUGAGGGACGAAAGCGUGGGGAGCGAACAGGAUUAGAUACCCUGGUAGUCCACGCUGUAAACGAUGCUUACUCGUUUUCGGGGAAUUAUUUUCGGUGACUAAGCGAAAGUGAUAAGUAAGCCACCUGGGGAGUACGAUCGCAAGAUUGAAACUCAAAGGAAUUGACGGGGGCCCGCACAAGCGGUGGAUUAUGUGGUUUAAUUCGAUGAUACGCGAGGAACCUUACCAAGACUUAAAUGGGAAUUGACAGUUUUAGAAAUAGGACUUUCUUCGGACAAUUUUCAAGGUGCUGCAUGGUUGUCGUCAGCUCGUGCCGUGAGGUGUUAGGUUAAGUCCUGCAACGAGCGCAACCCCUGUCACUAGUUGCUAACAUUUAGUUGAGGACUCUAGUGAGACUGCCUACGCAAGUAGAGAGGAAGGUGGGGAUGACGUCAAAUCAUCACGGCCCUUACGUCUUGGGCUACACACGUAAUACAAUGGUAGGUACAGAGGGCAGCUACACUGCGAAGUGAUGCAAAUCUCGAAAGCCUAUCUCAGUUCGGAUUGGAGUCUGCAACUCGACUCUAUGAAGCUGGAAUCGCUAGUAAUCGCGCAUCAGCCAUGGCGCGGUGAAUACGUUCCCGGGCCU